RNAcentral lists this ribosomal RNA (246 nucleotides) under uncultured bacterium. RNAcentral's name for it is "partial 16S ribosomal RNA". It matches the Rfam family "Bacterial small subunit ribosomal RNA", at positions 532 to 776 of the family's 1533-position model. The record is from RNAcentral.
GGGCGAGCGUUGUCCGGAUUUAUGGGGCGGAAAGAGCUCGUAGGCGGUUUGGUAAGUUGGAUGUGAAAUCUCCAGGCUCAACUUGGAGGGGUCAUUCGAUACUGCCAUGACUAGAGUCCGGGAGAGGUGAGUGGAAUUCCCAGUGUAGCGGUGAAAUGCGUAGAUAUUGGGAGGAACACCAGUGGCGAAGGCGGCUCACUGGACCGGAACUGACGCUGAGGCGCGAAAGCGUGGGGAGCAAACGGG